GUUACCAGUGAAGACCAUUACCAUAACUGGGGAUCAAGCCAGCAGCUACAGUGACCACAGAUGGCCUCUGGAAAGACUUUUCAUCCAAGGGAGGUACUGAUACCUCUGCCUACACAUCUGUCUCCAAGGUAUUGACCCCUCUGCCUCUCCUGCUUCACCCAGGAAGGUAUUGACCCCUCUUCUUGUCCUGCUUCUACCUACUGCCCUUACAAAGGCAUUUGUGGCCUAGCUUUCUUUAUACACUGGGACCAGAGACUGCAGCCAGCAUGCAGGUCUGAAAACUCUGCUACUGGAUUCCCUGAACAAACUAUACAGGAUGCACAGUUACCAAUGGAACUAACACACACUACUUUAUUUUUGGACAAGGACUAGCCUUUGGGGACUUGUCCUUAAACAUGUGGUGAGAUCCAUAUAAAUGUAAGCAAGUUUAUAUAACUUGAAGAACAACAUAAUGCAUCAAAUAUAUAAGGCAAUCAAUCUUCCCCUUGAAAGUGUGCUCCCAGUGCUACCUUCAAAGGGAGAAGCUGACAAUGCUGUCGCCAGUACACGCUGACAGCAAACAUUUAUUUUAGGCCUUGAAUUGACUUUAGACAGUCCUGAGUAGUGGUCCUUAAGUCAGAUGUACAAGGGGGUGUAACUAGCCUCCGGCACAAUAGUGUAUAUAUCUCUGGAUGCGUAGCGUUUUAAGCUCAUGCUUAUGGUUGUUGGAGUAACCAUUGAAAACAGGGGACUGCUUACAUUUACCCCAAAGGGACAGUGUUAAAACUUGUGUCCAAAUUUGAGGAAGAUUAGUAUCCUUAGCUUGGCACACAAUUUCAUUGCACACACAUACAUCCCACAUCUUAAAGUCAAGCAUCUUUACAAACGUUUCGGACAAAGCCCUUUCUCAAUGCAUCUUGGACCUUGAGGAAGGAGCUUUGCCUGAAACUUUUAUAUAGGUUAGGCUUCCCCCAACUUCGGCCCUCCAGAUGUUGCUGAACUACAACUCCCAUGAUUCUAUGAAUUUAAUAGAUAGGCUGAGAAUCAUGAGAAUCCAGCAACAUCUGGGGAAGCUUGAUAGAUGCUUGUUCUUCAAAUAAAGCUGUAGCACUUGGUGCACACACAUGUGAGGUGGGAAAGCAGCACCUGUACCUAUUUGAAGUACUGUCAUAACUCCAGCUUCUAUUUUUUUUCAUGAUAUUUUAAAGUUACCUCUAGUUCUAUGCUUAAAGGGGCAGGGAGGAGUGGGGAGGAGCAAGGACCCAGCGCCAGGGAUGUCAACACUGGGAAAAGGUGAGCAAAUACAGGGGUUUUUAACCCUUUAUUCACUAAAGAAUCCUGUAGGGAUCUGCUUAGGUUAUUAUGUGGUUGUAUUAGGUACUGUUUUCUUAAAAGUUCAUGUGAAAUCUCUACAAGUUGAGUGUAGGAUCAAAUUGUCUGAACUCUUUCUCAGCAAAUUUUCAGGUGAUGACAGCAGUUGUAUUUGCCCAGCUCAACUGAUUUUGGAUGGAACCACUGACAGAGGGUUACGGUAACACUGGAUAUCAUUAAACUGGUUAAUAGUCUGGGAACAAUAUGGUGUCCUGGGUCUUGGAGUACAGGGGUACUUUACACGGUAUGAUAGCACAUGUUUCUUUGGAAUUCUAAGGACAUGGUGUGUGGGUACAUGUGAGGGGCAUGCAUGUUACAAAAUUGUAAAAAUUUUUUAGUGAAUGUUCAUGAACUUUUUUUCUUUUAUGGCAGAUUAAAACGUGAUGGACAAUAAAGCCAUGUAUUUACAUACAUUUGAAGAGAAGGAAAACGGAUCUGUGUUCGAGGAAUCCUUCGAUGGAAAAAAUCUUUCAAAAAUGAACCUCUGUGAGAGCUGU
This 1847-nucleotide long non-coding RNA is filed under the name Pelobates cultripes (western spadefoot toad). The record is from RNAcentral. Lineage: Eukaryota; Metazoa; Chordata; Amphibia; Anura; Pelobatidae.